CGAACGUUUGCGGCGGGCCUAACACAUGCAAGUCGAACGCACUAGCAAUAGUGAGUGGCGCACGGGUGCGUAACACGUGGGUAAUCAACCCUUCAGCCUGGGAUAACGACUCGAAAGGGUCGCUAAUACCGGAUACGGCGCGAGAGGCUUCGGCUUCUCACGAGAAAGCCACGCAAGGGGCACUGAAGGACGAGCCUGCGGCCCAUCAGCUAGUUGGUGAGGUAAGAGCUCACCAAGGCUAAGACGGGUAGCUGGUCUGAGAGGAUGAUCAGCCACACUGGAACUGAGACACGGUCCAGACUCCUACGGGAGGCAGCAGUGGGGAAUAUUGCGCAAUGGGCGAAAGCCUGACGCAGCCACGCCGCGUGAGCGAUGAAGGCCUUCGGGUCGUAAAGCUCUGUGGGAGAGACGAAGAAAGCCUGUGAAGAGCAGGCCUUGACGGUAUCUCCUUAGCAAGCACCGGCUAACUCCGUG
This 474-nucleotide ribosomal RNA is filed under the name uncultured bacterium. RNAcentral's name for it is "bacterial SSU rRNA". It matches the Rfam family "Bacterial small subunit ribosomal RNA", at positions 30 to 507 of the family's 1533-position model. The record is from RNAcentral.